Molecule: ribosomal RNA, 313 nt
Filed under: uncultured bacterium
Lineage: Bacteria
Description: bacterial SSU rRNA
Rfam family: Bacterial small subunit ribosomal RNA
Source: RNAcentral
AUAAGUACCACAUGGUGCUAGUGGGAAAGGAGUAAUCCGCUAACAGAUGGGCUCGCGUCUGAUUAGCUAGUUGGUGAGGUAACGGCCCACCAAGGCGACGAUCAGUAGCCGGCCUGAGAGGGUGACCGGCCACAUUGGGACUGAGACACGGCCCAAACUCCUACGGGAGGCAGCAGGUGGGGAAUAUUGCACAAGUGGGGGAAACCCUGAUGCAGCGACGCCGCGUGAAGGAUGAAGGUCUUCGGAUCGUAAACUUUUGUCUUCAGGGACGAUAAUGACGGUACCUGAGGAGGAAGCCACGGCUAACUACGUG